AUGCAAGUCGAACGGCAGCACAGGAGAGCUUGCUCUCUGGGUGGCGAGUGGCGGACGGGUGAGGAAUAUAUCGGAAUCUACCCUUUCGUGGGGGAUAACGUAGGGAAACUUACGCUAAUACCGCAUACGAACUGAGGUUGAAAGCGGCGGACCGCAAGGCGUCGCGCGGAUGGAUGAGCCGAUAUCCGAUUAGCUAGUUGGCGGGGUAAAGGCCCACCAAGGCGACGAUCGGUAGCUGGUCUGAGAGGAUGAUCAGCCACACUGGAACUGAGACACGGUCCAGACUCCUACGGGAGGCAGCAGUGGGGAAUAUUGGACAAUGGGCGCAAGCCUGAUCCAGCCAUGCCGCGUGUGUGAAGAAGGCCUUCGGGUUGUAAAGCACUUUUGUUGGGAAAGAAAAGCGGUCGGUUAAUACCCGGUCGUUCUGACGGUACCCAAAGAAUAAGCACCGGCUAACUUCGUGCCAGCAGCCGCGGUAAUACGAAGGGUGCAAGCGUUACUCGGAAUUACUGGGCGUAAAGCGUGCGUAGGUGGUUUGUUAAGUCAGAUGUGAAAGCCCCGGGCUCAACCUGGGAAUUGCAUUUGAUACUGGCAGACUAGAGUGCGGUAGAGGAGAGUGGAAUUCCCGGUGUAGCAGUGAAAUGCGUAGAGAUCGGGAGGAACAUCAGUUGCGAAGGCGGCUCUCUGGACCAGCACUGACACUGAGGCACGAAAGCGUGGGGAGCAA
This 727-nucleotide ribosomal RNA is filed under the name uncultured Gammaproteobacteria bacterium. RNAcentral's name for it is "bacterial SSU rRNA". It matches the Rfam family "Bacterial small subunit ribosomal RNA", at positions 55 to 771 of the family's 1533-position model. Lineage: Bacteria; Pseudomonadati; Pseudomonadota; Gammaproteobacteria. The record is from RNAcentral.